RNAcentral lists this ribosomal RNA (492 nucleotides) under uncultured bacterium. RNAcentral's name for it is "partial 16S ribosomal RNA". It matches the Rfam family "Bacterial small subunit ribosomal RNA", at positions 29 to 507 of the family's 1533-position model. The record is from RNAcentral.
AGUGAACGCUGGCGGUAGGCCUAACACAUGCAAGUCGAACGGCAGCACAGUAAGAGCUUGCUCUUACGGGUGGCGAGUGGCGGACGGGUGAGGAAUACAUCGGAAUCUACUUUUUCGUGGGGGAUAACGUAGGGAAACUUACGCUAAUACCGCAUACGACCUACGGGUGAAAGCAGGGGAUCUUCGGACCUUGCGCGAUUGUAUGAGCCGAUGUCGGAUUAGCUAGUUGGCGGGGUAAAGGCCCACCAAGGCGACGAUCCGUAGCUGGUCUGAGAGGAUGAUCAGCCACACUGGAACUGAGACACGGUCCAGACUCCUACGGGAGGCAGCAGUGGGGAAUCUUGGACAAUGGGCGCAAGCCUGAUCCAGCCAUACCGCGUAGGUGAAGAAGGCCUUCGGGUUGUAAAGCCCUUUUGUUGGGAAAGAAGAGCAGCAGGUUAAUACCCCGCUGUUCUGACGGUACCCAAAGAAUAAGCACCGGCUAACUUCGUG